GAUGAACGCUGGCGGCGUGCCUAAUACAUGCAAGUCGAACGAACGGACGCGAAGCUUGCUUCUUUGAUGUUAGCGGCGGACGGGUGAGUAACACGUGGAUAACCUACCUAUAAUACUGGGAUCACUUCGGGAAACCGGCGCUAAUACCGGAUAAUAUUUUGCACCGCAUGGUUCAAAAGUGAAAGACGGUCUUGCUGUCUCUAAUAGCUGGAUCCGCGCUGCAUUAGCUGGUUGGUAAGGUAACGGCUUACCAAGGCAACGAUGCAUAGCCGACCUGAGGGGCGGAUCGGCCGCACGGGAACUGAGACACGGUCAAGACGCCUGCGGGAGGCAGCAGAAGGGAAUCUGACGCAAUGGGCGAAAGCCUGACGGAGCGACGCGGCGUGAGUGAUGAAGGUCUUCGGAUCGGAAAACUCUGUUAUGAGGGAAGAACAGAUGUGUAAGUAACUGUGCACAGCGUGACGGUACCUAGUCAGAAAGCCACGGCUAACUACGUG
RNAcentral lists this ribosomal RNA (497 nucleotides) under uncultured bacterium. RNAcentral describes it as "partial 16S ribosomal RNA". It matches the Rfam family "Bacterial small subunit ribosomal RNA", at positions 28 to 507 of the family's 1533-position model. The record is from RNAcentral.